RNAcentral lists this ribosomal RNA (468 nucleotides) under uncultured bacterium. Its description in RNAcentral is "partial 16S ribosomal RNA". It matches the Rfam family "Bacterial small subunit ribosomal RNA", at positions 28 to 507 of the family's 1533-position model. The record is from RNAcentral.
GACGAACGCUGGCGGCGUGCUUAACACAUGCAAGUCGAACGGAAAGGCCCUGCUUUUGUGGGGUGCUCGAGUGGCGAACGGGUGAGUAACACAUGAGUAACCUGCCCUUGACUUUGGGAUAACUUCAGGAAACUGGGGCUAAUACCGGAUAGGAGCUCCUGCUGCAUGGUGGGGGUUGGAAAGUUUCGGCGGUUGGGGAUGGACUCGCGGCUUAUCAGCUUGUUGGUGGGGUAGUGGCUUACCAAGGCUUUGACGGGUAGCCGGCCUGAGAGGGUGACCGGCCACAUUGGGACUGAGAUACGGCCCAGACUCCUACGGGAGGCAGCAGUGGGGAAUAUUGCACAAUGGGCGGAAGCUUGAUGCAGCAACGCCGCGUGCGGGAUGACGGCCUUCGGGUUGUAAACCGCUUUCGCCUGUGACGAAGCGUGAGUGACGGUAAUGGGUAAAGAAGCACCGGCUAACUACGUG